CCAAUAGCGUAUAUUAAAGUUGUUGCAGUUAAAAAGCUCGUAGUUGAAUUUCGGGAUUCAUCCGUUGGUCGGGCCUCACGGUCCGUACUGGUGUGAUGGGUUCCUACCUUCUGAAUAACCGGCAUGCCAUUAAUUUGGUGCGCCGGGGAAGCAGAACUAUUACCUUGAAAAAAUUAGAGUGCUUAAAGCAGGCAAGUGCCUGAAUAGGUUAGCAUGGAAUAAUAAAAUAGGACGGCAUGGUUCUAUUUUGUUGGUUUCUAGGAUCACCGUAAUGAUUAAUAGGGAUAGUUGGGGGCAUUAGUAUUCAAUUGUCAGAGGUGAAAUUCUUGGAUUUACUGAAGACUAACUUCUGCGAAAGCAUUUGCCAAGGAUGUUUUCAUUAAUCAAGAACGAAAGUUAGGGGAUCGAAGACGAUCAGAUACCGUCGUAGUCUUAACCAUAAACUAUGCCGACUAGGGAUCGGACGAUGUUAAUUUUUUAAUGACUCGUUCGGCGCCUUACG
This 502-nucleotide ribosomal RNA is filed under the name uncultured Glomeromycotina. RNAcentral describes it as "partial small subunit ribosomal RNA". It matches the Rfam family "Eukaryotic small subunit ribosomal RNA", at positions 591 to 1092 of the family's 1831-position model. The record is from RNAcentral. Lineage: Eukaryota; Fungi; Glomeromycota.